CGGCAACAGCUCAAAUUUGAAAUCUGGCCUCUCGGGGUCCGAGUUGUAAUUUGUAGAGGAUGUUUUGGGUACCGCCCCGGUCUAAAUUUCUUGGAACAGAAUGUCAGAGAGGGCGAGAAUCCCGU
This 125-nucleotide ribosomal RNA is filed under the name Phialophora verrucosa. RNAcentral's name for it is "partial large subunit ribosomal RNA". Lineage: Eukaryota; Fungi; Ascomycota; Eurotiomycetes; Chaetothyriales; Herpotrichiellaceae. The record is from RNAcentral.